AUGAGAACCUUGUUCGUGUGAA
Molecule: non-coding RNA, 22 nt
Filed under: Arabidopsis thaliana (thale cress)
Lineage: Eukaryota; Viridiplantae; Streptophyta; Magnoliopsida; Brassicales; Brassicaceae
Source: RNAcentral